AGUGAACGCUGGCGGUAGGCCUAACACAUGCCAGUCGAACGGCAGCACAGUAAGAGCUUGCUCUUACGGGUGGCGAGUGGCGGACGGGUGAGGAAUACAUCGGAAUCUACUUUUUCGUGGGGGAUAACGUAGGGAAACUUACGCUAAUACCGCAUACGACCUACGGGUUAAAGCAGGGGAUCUUCGGACCUUGCGCGAUUGAAUGAGCCGAUGUCGGAUUAGCUAGUUGGCGGGGUAAAGGCCCACCAAGGCGACGAUCCGUAGCUGGUCUGAGAGGAUGAUCAGCCACACUGGAACUGAGACACGGUCCAGACUCCUACGGGAGGCAGCAGUGGGGAAUAUUGGACAAUGGGCGCAAGCCUGAUCCAGCCAUACCGCGUGGGUGAAGAAGGCCUUCGGGUUGUAAAGCCCUUUUGUUGGGAAAGAAAAGCAGCAGGUUAAUACCCCGCUGUUCUGACGGUACCCAAAGAAUAAGCACCGGCUAACUUCGUG
RNAcentral lists this ribosomal RNA (492 nucleotides) under uncultured bacterium. Its description in RNAcentral is "partial 16S ribosomal RNA". It matches the Rfam family "Bacterial small subunit ribosomal RNA", at positions 29 to 507 of the family's 1533-position model. The record is from RNAcentral.